RNAcentral lists this long non-coding RNA (397 nucleotides) under Gossypium raimondii (Peruvian cotton). RNAcentral describes it as "long non-coding RNA (GRAI_LNC009245)". Lineage: Eukaryota; Viridiplantae; Streptophyta; Magnoliopsida; Malvales; Malvaceae. The record is from RNAcentral.
GCGGUAAUAAUGGUCUGGCGGUGGUCCAAUGAGGUGAGAAAAAAAUAUAAAAAGUGGGAGGGUUUGGUCACAAUAUUGAGAGAAAAAAGAAAAGAAAAAGAGUGGUGGAGGAAGGUUUUCCUGCAGUGGUUCGCGGUGGCUCACAGCGGCGAUGGUGACAGUGACACUGAAGGGCGGUGAUCGAAAGGAAAGAGGGGGAGAAGAGAACCUUGGAUAGUGGUGUGGAGGUGGUGAAGCUAUAGCUCACGGUGGAGGAAUUUUAGGCGGUGAUUGUUUGGCCAAAAAGGAGUGGAAACGAAGUGGAGAGGAGAGGAAAAGAAAAGAAAAGAAAGGGAAUGAAAGGGGUGGACGACAAUGGGGUGUUUUGGGGUGGUCAACAUUUGAUUUUUGUCAAGGA